UCAGGAUGAACGCUAGCUACAGGCUUAACACAUGCAAGUCGAGGGGCAGCAGGAUUGUGCUUGCACAGAUUGCUGGCGACCGGCGCACGGGUGAGUAACGCGUAUCCAACUUCCCCAUAGUAGAGGAUAGCCCGGCGAAAGUCGGAUUAAUACUCUAUGUUGUACAACGAGGACAUCUGAAUUGUACCAAAGAUUCAUCGCUAUGGGAUGGGGAUGCGUCUGAUUAGGUAGUCGGCGGGGUAACGGCCCACCGAGCCUACGAUCAGUAGGGGUUCUGAGAGGAAGGUCCCCCACAUUGGUACUGAGACACGGACCAAACUCCUACGGGAGGCAGCAGUGAGGAAUAUUGGUCAAUGGGCGCGAGCCUGAACCAGCCAAGUAGCGUGCAAGGAUGACGGCCCUAUGGGUUGUAAACUGCUUUUAUGCGGGGAUAAAGUGCACCACGUGUGGUGUUUUGUAGGUACCGCAUGAAUAAGGACCGGCUAAUUCCGUGCCAGCCGCAGC
This 504-nucleotide ribosomal RNA is filed under the name uncultured bacterium. RNAcentral describes it as "bacterial SSU rRNA". It matches the Rfam family "Bacterial small subunit ribosomal RNA", at positions 24 to 518 of the family's 1533-position model. The record is from RNAcentral.